AGCAUGGUCUUAGCUUGCUAAGGCCGAUGGCGACCGGCGCACGGGUGAGUAACACGUAUCCAACCUGCCGUCUACUCUUGGACAGCCUUCUGAAAGGAAGAUUAAUACAAGAUGGCAUCAUGAGUCCACAUGUUCACAUGAUUAAAGGUAUUCCGGUAGACGAUGGGGAUGCGUUCCAUUAGAUAGUAAGCGGGGUAACGGCCCACCUAGUCUUCGAUGGAUAGGGGUUCUGAGAGGAAGGUCCCCCACAUUGGAACUGAGACACGGUCCAAACUCCUACGGGAGGCAGCAGUGAGGAAUAUUGGUCAAUGGGCGAGAGCCUGAACCAGCCAAGUAGCGUGAAGGAUGACUGCCCUAUGGGUUGUAAACUUCUUUUAUAAAGGAAUAAAGUCGGGUAUGUAUACCCGUUUGCAUGUACUUUAUGAAUAAGGAUCGGCUAACUCCGUGCCAGCAGCCGCGGUAAUACGGAGGAUCCGAGCGUUAUCCGGAUUUAUUGGGUUUAAAGGGAGCGUAGAUGGAUGUUUAAGUUGGUUGUGAAAGUUUGCGGCUCAACCGUAAAAUUGCAGUUGAUACUGGAUAUCUU
Molecule: ribosomal RNA, 583 nt
Filed under: uncultured Bacteroidales bacterium
Lineage: Bacteria; Pseudomonadati; Bacteroidota; Bacteroidia; Bacteroidales
Description: bacterial SSU rRNA
Rfam family: Bacterial small subunit ribosomal RNA
Source: RNAcentral